Haliotis rufescens (red abalone) is the source of this 354-nucleotide long non-coding RNA. RefSeq lists it as uncharacterized. The record is from RefSeq and is a predicted model, not a curated record. NCBI's taxonomy places the organism in Eukaryota, Metazoa, Mollusca, Gastropoda, Lepetellida, Haliotidae. The transcript is spliced from 3 exons.
GUUAGGGUGACUGGAGUCGUGUUGUUUGGAGCAGACAAGUGGUACUAAUGUCUGAUACAGUCUGUGAGUUAGGGUGAGUGGAGUCGUGUUGUUUGGAGCAGACAAGUGGUACUAAUGUCUGAUACAGUCAGUGAGUUAGGGUGAGUUUGUGUGGGGACACUGCAGCAGUGAGUGGAGUCGUGCUGUUUGGAGCAGACAAGUGGUACUAAUGUCUGAUACAGUCUGUGAGUUAGGGUGAGUGGAGUCGUGUUGUUUGGAGCAGACAAGUGGUACUAAUGUCUGAUACAGUCAGUGAGUUAGGGUGAGUUUGUGUGGGGACACUGCAGCAGUGAGUGGAGUCGUGCUGUUUGGAGC